CAGUCGCCGCGGGAAUACGGAGGGUGCAAGCGUUAUCCGGAUUCACUGGGUUUAAAGGGUGCGUAGGCGGAUCUGUAAGUCAGUGGUGAAAUCUCCAGGCUUAACCUGGAAACUGCCGUUGAUACUAUAGGUCUUGAAUUUUGUGGAGGUUAGCGGAAUAUGUCAUGUAGCGGUGAAAUGCAUAGAUAUGACAUAGAACACCAAUUGCGAAGGCAGCUGGCUACACAACUAUUGACGCUGAGGCACGAAAGUGUGGGGAUCAAACAGGAUUAGAUACCCCAGUAGUCCCUGUCUCUUAUAC
This 301-nucleotide ribosomal RNA is filed under the name uncultured bacterium. RNAcentral describes it as "partial 16S ribosomal RNA". It matches the Rfam family "Bacterial small subunit ribosomal RNA", at positions 509 to 807 of the family's 1533-position model. The record is from RNAcentral.